GAUGAAGAACGUAGCGAAAUGCGAUACGUAAUGUGAAUUGCAGAAUUCAGUGAAUCAUCGAAUCUUUGGACGCAUAUUGCGCUCUCUGGUAUUCCGGAGAGCAUGCUUGUUUGAGUAUCAGUAAACACCUCAACUUCCAUAUCUUUUUUGAAAUGGGAGUUGGACUUGAGUGAUCCCAACGCUUUUCCUCACCGAAAAGUGGCGGGUUACUUGAAAUGCAGGUGCAGCUGGACUUUUCUCUGAGCUAUAAGCAUAUCUAUUUAGUCUGCCUAAAAAACAGAUUAUUACCUUUGCUGCAGCUAACAUAAAGGAGAUUAGUUCUUGUGCUGACUGAUGCAGGAUUCACAAAGACGGCUUCGGCCGACUUUGUAAACUCGAUCUCAAAUCAAGUAAGACUACCCUCUGAACUUAAGCAUAUCAAUAAGCGGAGGA
This 432-nucleotide unclassified non-coding RNA is filed under the name soil metagenome. Its description in RNAcentral is "partial contains 5.8S ribosomal RNA, internal transcribed spacer 2, and large subunit ribosomal RNA". The stretch from base 1 to 120 matches the Rfam family "5.8S ribosomal RNA", at positions 35 to 154 of the family's 154-position model. The record is from RNAcentral.